Acinonyx jubatus (cheetah) is the source of this 7483-nucleotide long non-coding RNA. RefSeq lists it as uncharacterized. The transcript is spliced from 5 exons. Lineage: Eukaryota; Metazoa; Chordata; Mammalia; Carnivora; Felidae. The record is from RefSeq and is a predicted model, not a curated record.
GGUCUAGUUUCUUUUAAUGGCAUUUUGUGAAAAACUAUGGAAUGUCAUCUAUCAUGAGCAUACUCAAAUUUCUUGCAGGCGGGGGCACCUGGGUGGCUCUGGGUGGUUAAGCGUCUGACUUCAGCUCAGGUCACAAUCUCAUGGUUCAUGAGUUAGAGCCCCGCGUCCAGCUCUGUGCUGACAGCUCAGAGCCUGAAGCCUGCUUCAGAGUCUGUGUCUCCCUCUCUCUGCCCUUCCCCCACUCAUACUCUGUCUCUCUGUCCAUCUCUCAAAAAGAAAUAAACAUUAAAAAAAAAUUUCUUGCAGGCGUUUAAACAUCCAACCUCUUCUAUUUAGCAUAAUAUAUUAUUUACGAUAACCUUGAAAUCCUCGAUGGAUUAUGGGGUAGCCAGCCUCCAAGAUAGCUCAAUGAUCCUCAUCUCAUGGUAUUCAUGCCCUUUCUGGGUUCCCUUCCUACAUGGCUUCCUACAAUACAAUACUGUGGAAGAGACAUAUGUGACUUUCAAGGCUGAGUCAUAAACAGACAUUGCAGCUUCUACCUUGGUGUGCCUCUUGGAUCACUUGCUUUGAGGGAAGGCAGCUGUCAUGUCAUGGUGACAUUCAAGCAGCUCUAUGGCAGGACCCAUGUGGUGAGGAACUAGGGCCCUCCACCAAGAGCCAGCACCGACUUGCCAGAAUUUGAGUUUGUGCACAUGAGUCACCUUGCAGUACAAGGUGACCAACCCUAGCCGAGCGUUCAGAAAACUGCAGCCCCCGUUGACAUCUUAACUACAACCUCAUGAGAGACCUUUGCCUCAGAACCACCUAGCUAAGCUGCUUCUGAGUUCUUGACCCACAGGAACUGUGUGAGAGAAUAAAUGUUUACUGUUGUUUUAAGUUGCUACAUUUGGGGGCGGUUCGUUAUGCAUCAGUAGGUACCGAAUGCAGAUUAGAAAUUCCUUGAAAGUAGGAUUCAUGAGUUCUACCUAUUUUACUUCAAGUUACGGCAUCACCUCCCUUCCUACUUCCGCCUUGGAGAUGAGAGCAUACUGAAAUAUCUGGCAAAAUAUGGGAGGUGAAAUGACAUUCCCCUUGAAAUUCAGUAUGACACAUCUGAAUGAGGAAAACCAAGAUGUCAAUCGGUCCAUUCUAACCGUUUUUUUAUUUCUGAGGGUAUUUAUGAGUCCUCAGGGUGGAGGUGAGGAUAAAGGAGUAGAACUCAGGUCUCAGGAUGAGUAUUGUUAUUUGUCAUUCUGGAAUCCCCCAGAAUUCUCCGUUCUCAGUUCAGGAGUGGAAUAUGUUCUUAGGCCUGGGUAUAUAGGGAAGCUUUGGUAAAUGGGGAGUUUCCAGUAUCCUAUGGAAACUUCCAGUAUCCAGAGGAUACUGGAAACUCACCUGGACAAAGGAAGUGAGAUAGUGCCUGGGGGAGGGGGGAGGUGAAGUGUUGGCUCUCUUCACAGGAUCAUUUCAGGCACAAGUCCUUGCCCAGGGACCAGGUGAACAUUGCACAGGCAGCCAGAACCAAUGGCCAGCCCACUGUGAAUCUGCAUCAGCAGGAAGGGGCUUGAGUGAGGAGGGGCAGCUCUGUAGGCAAUGGAGCAGAGAUCAGAGACAGACUUGCACUGGGCCCAGACUCAGUAUGUAGCAAUACAGUUGUCCCUUCUUAUCUGCAGGGGAUAUCUCCCUGGAUACCUGAAACUUAGACGGCUUCAGAAGACUCUGGAAGCUGCUUAUUGCCCAGUAUUUUCCACUGCAACCCCAGGCAGACUUAGACUGCAUCUCUACCUGCUGGACACCAAGGAGAUCGACAACCCUGUUUUUAGCUUUCUCUUUGGAAUAUGGAGAGUAAAACUUCACUAAUACUCCACCUUUAUUCCAAGGUUAAAUUCUUCCUUCUCAAUCUGUUGAGGCCACAUUUUUCUCUCUUAGAAACUGCCUUUUCAGAAAGAAGGCUGGACUCCAGGGAGAGCUGGGUACAAUUUCCUUCCAUAUGCUAUUCUUUCCCUCUCCAAAAGUCUCUAAGAGGCUGGAUAAAUGGCCUCACCUCCUUGCAUCAGUUGCCCUAGGUGUGGGGGUGGUUGAAAUCUAUGCCCUUCUUCACACCUGUUAACUAUGUCCACAAACAGAAAGCAGCAGGUAGGUGGGGUUAUACUUAGGCAUAGAUCACAGGGUCCCUGUUCACCUUAGGGGCAGGGAGAAAAAAAGAUAGAUAAAGAAUUGCCCUUGUCUCUAUGUCCCCCACCUGACAGAGAGAUAUGGGAGAUCCGGGGGGUGGGGUGUCCUCUCUACUGCUCUCCUCAUACUCAUGGCUGUUCUCUUCCCAUGCCCACUAGCAAAGACAACUCCCUUAGGACCUACCAGAGAUCAUUCAAUCAUUUCAUGGUGGAAACCAUGAAAGUCAUUUCAGAAGUGAAGGUCAUUUAUAAGUAGUGACAGCUCUCAAAUGAAUCUUUUAUUGGUGAAAUGGGACAGUGUCAAUAAAUACCCUUAAAAUUGAGUAGGACACACAAUAGCGUCAAUCCAUGGACGGUACAGGGCUAGGGAAACAAAUGACACCGGAUCCAGAAAUCUACUCUCCUUUCCCCGACUACAUUGUGAUCUACCAAGGUUAAGAAAAAACAGUCAUUUCUUUUUUAUUGUUUUGGAUGCCUGACCUUGACUGAAAGGAUGCCCUCUGUCUUUCAAAUUUUUGUUAAAAAUUUUUUUAAUGCUUAUUUAUUUUUGAGAGAGAGAGAGAGAGAAAGAGAGAGAGAGAUACAGACCACAAGCAGGGGAGGGGCAGAAGAGAGGGAGACACAGAAUCCACAGCAGGCUCUAAGCUCUGAGCUAUCAGCACAGAGCCCACCGUGGGUCUUGAACCCACAGACUACAAGAUCAUGACCUGAGGCAAAGUUGGAUGCUCAACCGAUUGAGCCACCCAGGCGCCCCUCAAAUUUUUGUUUUAAAAAUUGGAAAUCAAGGAGUAAAGACAACGUAUGGGGAUAAUCUUGUUCUGUGUGAACAUCAUGUCAUCUGUGUAUUAAAUAUCCUCAGUUUAUUCACUACAGUGCUUACAGUUAACACUAUUAAAAACUUUAGUGCAUUUCCCCCCAUUUAUACCUUUAAAAAAAUGUUUAUUUACUUUGAGAGAGAAAGACAGAGAACUCAGGGGAGGGGCAGGGAGAGAAGACAGAAUCCCAAGUUGACAGUGCACAGCCUGACGCGGGGCUUGAUCUUAGCAACAGUGAGAUUAUGACCUGAGCCGAGAUCAAGAGUCCAAUGCUUAACCCACUGAGCCACCCAGGUGUCCCUCCCAUUUAUGCCUUUAAGUGAUCUUAUGAUUCAGGUAUCGUUCUUUAUUAUCUCAUAUUCUUAAUAGUUACUAUACUAUACUCUUUACUUUGUGAUUAGUGUGUACAGUUUUAAGGAUCCAUGAAGGACCUAGGUCCUUAAAAACUCAAAUAGUGUGAAUAUCUUCCUUGUGAAUUCCUAAAAAGCCUUUAUUCAAAGUAACAUGUACUUUUAGAAACCUUACUGUACAGGAGAAUGACGUGAGGUGUACUGUGAAAAACAGAGUCCUGUGUGCUGCUUCCAGAUAUUCUGAUUUAGUAAGUCUGGACCAAAGCCCAGGCAUCUGCAUUUUAAAAUAAGCACCCAAGUAAUUAUGAUGUAGGUGAUAUUUGGAUUACGCUUUGAGAAACAGUGCCUUUGACUAUAAAAGGCCCGAGGACAGGACUGUAACUAUAACAAAUCUUCAUGUGUACACCCCAUUUAAUUUGCUGCAUGUAGCAAUAGAUACGGCAUCGGAGUUUGGAUCAUCCUUGGCUAAGGACUAAACCCUGCUCAUUCACUGUCAUCUCAUUUAUCUUCUGCACUGAGGACAGGCAGCCCUGGGCCUGCCCGUCCGUUAGAGGCCCUUGGAAAAGAGGCUGUGUGUUACAUGUUGAGUGGCUUUCUCUUUUGCUUAUCCAAAAUAUGUCUGUGCAAAGUUUUGGUAAAGGCUGUACACUCUGACAUACUGGCCCUGGUGAUUCUGCAGCCUUCACCGGAGGGGCCUGAGGAGAAGCUGUCAUUUUUUUCUCUACGUUUUGAAAUGCACAGCUCAAGGGGCGGGGUGAAGGGUGGAGAGCCCAGGGACUAAACUGGAGUUGGUAAACACGCAUGAAGCAAGCUAAGAAAGCAUAUUAGCAGGGGAGGAAUGACACGGGCUGCACGCGGAGCCUGGAACAACACAGAUUUCUCUGAAAAAAGACAGCACCAGUCGCCGCCGGUGUCUAUUUUGAAGGAAAUAACAACUAAAAACAGUACCGACCCUUGGCUAACAUCUGAAGGUUUGUCUGGAAAUUGUGUUCUGAAAAGAAGUUUGCAUCAGAGAAGCAAGAGAAUGAAGGGCAAGUCUUGAAGGAAAAAGAAAAAAUAGGCCAAAAAAAUCCAGCAAGCACCUCAAAUAGCCCAAAGGAGGUUGCAGGGACACGGGGAAAGCUCUAUUUAAUCUCUUGCCUAGCUAACACAGCCUGGAGGCAGCUUUUAAUGCACUUUUUUUUUUUUUUAUAACAAGCCUCGUUUUUGAGGUUGUGAUGAGCCUUUCUAGCUCCCGGAAUCAGUGAUGAUUCUUUAAAGAAUUUCUUUUCCCCUUGACACCUGGGGACAGAUUAACCAAAACCCCAGACUGGAAAGUAGGGAACUCCAAAGUUGCUCUGGUGUGCUUUUAAAACACUCUAUGUGACUCGGCAUGGUGAAGCAAAACCCCAUCACUUUCUACGUUACUUUCUGCUUCUCUCACCUCAUCUAGAUGGCCUCAGAGAAUAUUUUAAGGUUGACAGGAAAAUUUUACAGAAUGGUCAAAAAGUAAAGAAAGCCCUAAAAAUGGUUGUAUAAUCUUCCUCUUAAAAAAAAAAAAAAACAACACUAAUGUGUUUUGGGGGCGCCUGGGUGGCUCCGUCGGUUGAACGUCCGACUCUUGAUUUUGGCUCAGGUCAUGAUCCCAGGGUUGUGGGGUAGAGCCCUGCGCUAGGCUCCGUGCAGAGUGAAGUCUGUGGAGAUUCUCUCUACUCCUGCCCCCUUCCGCCCCCCACGCCUGCACUCUCUUUCUCUAAAAUAAAUAAAAAAUGUUUUUCAAUUGAAUAACUAAGAAAACAGAAUUGUAGGGUUGGAUUGAACCUCGGAGGUUAUCUAAGUUCAGUCUCACUUUAUGAAGACAGUUAUGAGGCACAGAAAAGUUGAAGGUUUCCAAGGUUGCGGGGCUGGUCUUAGAUUGAAGGUAUGUUUGUACGGACUCUCAGUUCAAUGUCACUUCUGUCAACUGCUUUCAUAACCACUUUUCUCAAGUAGUUUUUGCCUGCCCUUGUCCACUUAGUACUCACAUACUGUAGCAACAAAUUUUUGGCUUUGUUUUUUUUUUAGCAGGGGGGCAGGUUGCCAUAUGGUACUUUUUUCUUUGAACUUUGAAAGUAACCAAUUUCCUCAUGAAAAAAAAAAAAAGAGUGACCUAAUCUUAUUGUAAAACAAAUAUUCAAAAACCUCAACAGGCCCUAGAGUAAACUCUCAGUGCUUCAGGUGCUGACUAUCUAGUUUCCUUUUUCCUUCCUCUGCUGACCAUGCAUUCGGAUGUUUACAUCGGUCAGUAGCUCUGUAAAACUCCGAUACUAUAUAUGUUGUAGGACUGUUUGUGGCAGCUUCCUGAUCCCUGGAUUGUAGCUACGGCGCCAUGUUCUCAAACUCAGUAUUUCAGCGGCCAUCGGAGACUGCAGCUCCCCAGAGAGUGACAGAGCAUGAGCGGGGAAGGGGCAGAGAGAGAGGAAGACACAGAAUCCCAAGAAGGCUCCAGGCUCCGAGCUGUCAGCACAGAACCCGAGACCACAGGGCUUGAACCCACAGACCACGAGAUCAUGACCUGAGCCGAAGUUGGAUGCGCAACCGACUGAGCCACCCAGGCGCCCCAAAGGCUAUUUAUUAACGAAAAGUAUGACACAUAAAAAGAGUUUAAGAGAAAUAAAAUUAAGGUAAAGAGAAAAGAGCAAAUAACUUCUGGAAGAUAGUGGAGGAUAGAAGUGGGUGUGACAGCCAGCCUCCAAGGUAGCUCCCGGUGAUCCUUGUGCUUGUGCUCCUGUAAAACCCCCUGCCACAGCUCAGCUGUGUAACCAAAAGCAUACUGUGGAAAUGAUACUGUGUAACUCUUGGUAGGUCAUAAAAUAAUUUACGGUUUCCAACUUGCUCUUAACUUACUCUCUCUGAAGGGAGGCAGCUGACAUGUGGUGAAGACACUCAGAUUUCUGCCAACAACCAACACUGAUCUGCCAAGCGAGUAAGUGAGCCACCUUAGAAGCAAAACCUCCAACCUCGGUCAAGGGUACAGGAAACUGCAGCAUGGGCUGACAUCUUGACUGCAAUCACAUAAAAGACCCCAAACCAGGAUCACCCGCCUAAGUCACUCCUUACCCAUAGAAACUGUGAAGAAGAAACAUCAGUUUUGGUACAACAUGAACCCUAACUCACAGGAGAUCCACCUGCUUCACUGUCCCGAGGGAGCGAAUGAACUGGAAGGCAUCAGGCCAAUUACUCAUUAAGUCUCUGCAAUCCAUUUCGAAUCCCAGUUUCCUAUUGAUAUUAUGCCUUGAAUGUCAGGGAUGACUUCCUCCUAGGCAAAAUUAAUAGCUUUUUUAUUGGUCCCCAAAUUUGCCCAUGGUAUUUGAUGUCAGUGGUCACCCCAACUUGAGCACAUUCUUUUGGUUUCUGCGAUCCUGUACUUUCCUGUUAUUAACCAGGGCCAGGGCUAGGGUGAAGAAAGCGAAGUGCUCAGAAUGCAAAAUUCAAGGAGGCACUCACUCUCAGGGUCAUGCGAGUGUAAUGUGUUCACACUGAACACGUUUUUUGGCUCGUCAAGACCAACUGUAUUUAGCACAAUGAAAAGAAUAAAAGCAUUUUGCCUUUAUUUCACUUACUGUUUUUCCACGGCAGAACAUACGGCAGAGACUUGGGAACACGCAUGCCUGAAGCCAGGUUACUCUUAUGUUCCAUAACUAUGUUGCUUGCAGGGCUGCAAAAAGAAAGACAAAUUUGCCUAUGCCCGCCUAUCUGUAUUCUCCAGGCAGGCACACACAAGACCAUCAAAAAUGUGUUUUUUGUAAUUUGGGGGAAAACAGCAAACUACAUUCUGAAAUGUAAACACAUUUCCAUCAAAACAUUCUUGCAAUUAGAAUGAUUACUACUUCUCUGAAAAGCUCACUGUUCUGUAAAAGCAUUAAGAUGGGUCUGACCAUUUUCAUUUUCCAGAAAUUGAGAUAAACAGCAAUGCCAUCUACUGUUCGGUUGUGUGACAGGCUCAUCAACUCACUCAACAAAUAUGAGAGAUAAAAUGCCAAGACAACCAAACCAAAGGCAACACAUCUCAUAGGACGGAGGGAAAAUUAAAACUGUACUAUUAAAAUUCAUCUUCAAGUUCUUCUAUUUUAGGGCACACACACAAUAAGGUACACGUGCAAUUAUUAACUUAGGAGCUAAGAAAUAAAAAUUGAUAAGCAUUCUA